RNAcentral lists this RNase P RNA (349 nucleotides) under Pokkaliibacter plantistimulans. Its description in RNAcentral is "RNase P RNA component class A". It matches the Rfam family "Bacterial RNase P class A". From Rfam's summary of the family: Ribonuclease P (RNase P) is a ubiquitous endoribonuclease, found in archaea, bacteria and eukarya as well as chloroplasts and mitochondria. Lineage: Bacteria; Pseudomonadati; Pseudomonadota; Gammaproteobacteria; Oceanospirillales; Balneatrichaceae. The record is from RNAcentral.
UGAGUCCGCUGGACAAUCGUCGCCCUGCAAGGGGGGGAGGAAAGUCCGGGCUCCACAGGGCAGAGUGCCAGAUAACGUCUGGGAGGCGCGAGCCUACGGAAAGUGCAACAGAAAGUAUACCGCCUAAGUCCGCAAGGACCGGUAAGGUUGAAAUGGUGCGGUAAGAGCGCACCGCGUGGGUGGCAACACUCCACGGCGAUGGUAAACCCCACUCGGAGCAAGACCAAAUAGGAACCCAUUAGGCGUGGCCCACGCUGGGUUCGGGUAGGUCGCUUGAGGUCAGUGGUGACGCUGACCCUAGAUGAAUGAUUGUCCUCGACAGAACCCGGCUUACAGGCGGGCUCAGCCC